This 326-nucleotide ribosomal RNA is filed under the name Cercozoa sp. Its description in RNAcentral is "SSU rRNA". The stretch from base 116 to 326 matches the Rfam family "Eukaryotic small subunit ribosomal RNA", at positions 743 to 955 of the family's 1831-position model. Lineage: Eukaryota; Cercozoa. The record is from RNAcentral.
GAUUUCUGGUGUGGUGCGCCGAGCCCGCAUCCGUUUAGGUUGUGAGUGCUUGCUGCGCGCCUACCAUCCUUCCGGAGAGGCCGAUCUGCCCUUAACUGGAACGGGUCGCGUCGAUCUGGAUCGUUUACUUUGAAAAAAUUAGAGUGUUUAAAGCAGGCUUGCGCUAUGAAUACAUUAGCAUGGAAUAAUAAUUUAGGACUUUGGUCUUAUUUUGUUGGUUUCUAGGACUAAAGUAAUGAUUGAUAGGGACAGUUGGGGGUGCUAGUAUUCAGCGGCCAGAGGUGAAAUUCUUGGAUUCGCUGAAGACUAACUUAUGCGAAAGCAUU